UACGUAGGGAGCAAGCGUUGUCCGGAUUCACUGGGUGUAAAGGGUGCGCAGGCGGAUUUGUAAGUCAGAGGUGAAAUCUCACGGCUUAACCGUGAAACUGCCUUUGAUACUGCAGAUCUUGAGUUUGGGAGAGGUUGAUGGAAUUCCAGGUGUAGCGGUGAAAUGCGUAGAUAUCUGGAAGAACACCAGUGGCGAAGGCGGUCAACUGGCCCAUAACUGACGCUCAGGCACGAAAGCGUGGGGAGCGAACAGG
RNAcentral lists this ribosomal RNA (253 nucleotides) under uncultured bacterium. RNAcentral's name for it is "partial 16S ribosomal RNA". It matches the Rfam family "Bacterial small subunit ribosomal RNA", at positions 524 to 776 of the family's 1533-position model. The record is from RNAcentral.